RNAcentral lists this transfer RNA (72 nucleotides) under Camelus bactrianus (Bactrian camel). It matches the Rfam family "tRNA". Rfam says of the family: Transfer RNA (tRNA) molecules are approximately 80 nucleotides in length. RNAcentral also lists the same sequence under 2 other names. The record is from Rfam by way of RNAcentral. Lineage: Eukaryota; Metazoa; Chordata; Mammalia; Artiodactyla; Camelidae.
GGGAGUAUAGCUCAGUGGUAAAGUGCGUGCUUAGCAUGUGCGAGGUCCUGGGCUCAAUCUCCAGUAUUUCCA